Molecule: small nucleolar RNA, 107 nt
Organism: Hibiscus syriacus
Lineage: Eukaryota; Viridiplantae; Streptophyta; Magnoliopsida; Malvales; Malvaceae
Source: RefSeq, a predicted model, not a curated record
AAUCCAUGCUUACAACACCUUUGAAGUAACUCCUUGAAACUCUCCCAAGCUUCAUAUAUAUUCUCAUCUUCAAGUUGCUUGAAAGAGGUAAGGUCAUUCCUAAGCUU